This is a long non-coding RNA of Hylaeus volcanicus, 744 nucleotides long. RefSeq lists it as uncharacterized. NCBI's taxonomy places the organism in Eukaryota, Metazoa, Arthropoda, Insecta, Hymenoptera, Colletidae. The transcript has 3 exons. The record is from RefSeq and is a predicted model, not a curated record.
UCUUCACUCUAUCCGAUCUGCGCUCUCUCUCUGGGAUCGUUUUCGCGGAAACGCCAUCGCUGGGCAAUACCAAACUCGACGGCCGAUCGCCAUCUGUGGAAAUCCAAGAUAUGGUUCGAAUGCUCCUAGAAUCUAGAGAUGAAUCGAAAAUUGAUGCUUUUGGCCGCUUGUUUCACGAACGUAUUAUUUACGGACGGAACCUGGCAGUUCGAAUCUUCUGCGAUUCCAGUGAUUUCCAUUUUGGUUGGUCGCUCGUUUGGCAAGCGAUCGCUGCGCGCUAGGCGGAAUUCUGACGUGGAGCUUCUUAUUCCAUCGAAGACGGUUGCGUAUGGUGGUAUAACUACAGGGUGGCUUUAGCUGUCUUAGGUGGUCAAUAACUGUUGGACGGCUUACACCCAACUACUGUGCAAGAUGUCGAACCGUUGUUCGUGGAUCAGCUUCAACCAGUGUCCUCAAUUGGUCGUUGUCGACGAGAGAAGAGCGUCCGCGACCAUCAUCGUCGUGGCUCUCAUCUCCACAUCGAAAUUUUUUGAACCAACGGUGCACCGUGCGUUCAUUUACGGUAUCUUCUCCAAAUGCAUCGUUGAUAUUACGAGUCGCAGUUGCAGCUUUAUGACCCAGUUUAUAUUCAUACAAGAAUAUUAACACGAACUUGCUUAGUAUCCAUUGCGAAGUAAAUAACUCCAAGUUAGCACAAAUUAGCAGUAAAAACAAAAGCAUACCUAUCAGCAUACAGCGCGACAU